CCAGAUUCAGUCUCUGUUGUGAAACUGCUUUGAGAUCAUAGACUAAAUAUUAAGUCUAUGUUUGAGAUAUGUUUGCUCUUGUUUGGUGGAC
Sander lucioperca (pikeperch) is the source of this 91-nucleotide long non-coding RNA. RefSeq lists it as uncharacterized. The transcript is spliced from 4 exons. The record is from RefSeq and is a predicted model, not a curated record. NCBI's taxonomy places the organism in Eukaryota, Metazoa, Chordata, Actinopteri, Perciformes, Percidae.